GGAGAGAUGGCCGAGCGGUUGAAGGCGCACGCCUGGAGCGCGUGUAGGUGUAACAGCCUCUAGGGUUCGAAUCCCUAUCUCUCCGCCA
RNAcentral lists this transfer RNA (88 nucleotides) under Bacillota bacterium. Its description in RNAcentral is "Firmicutes bacterium (anaerobic digester metagenome) tRNA-Ser". It matches the Rfam family "tRNA". Rfam says of the family: Transfer RNA (tRNA) molecules are approximately 80 nucleotides in length. Their secondary structure includes four short double-helical elements and three loops (D, anti-codon, and T loops). Further hydrogen bonds mediate the characteristic L-shaped molecular structure. tRNAs have two regions of fundamental functional importance: the anti-codon, which is responsible for specific mRNA codon recognition, and the 3' end, to which the tRNAs corresponding amino acid is attached (by aminoacyl-tRNA synthetases). tRNAs cope with the degeneracy of the genetic code in two manners: having more than one tRNA (with a specific anti-codon) for a particular amino acid; and 'wobble' base-pairing, i.e. permitting non-standard base-pairing at the 3rd anti-codon position. The record is from RNAcentral. Lineage: Bacteria; Bacillati; Bacillota. RNAcentral also lists the same sequence under 1 other name.